GAAUUUUGGGGUUUUUGGGGAUCCCUGGGGGGGAAUUUGGGGAUCCCCAAAUGAAUUUUGGGGUUCCCAUGAAGAUUUUUGGGGUUCCCAAGUGAAUUUUGGGGACCCCGGGGCGGCUCUGGGCUCUCCGGGGUGGAAUUUUGGGGAUCCCCGGGGUGGAAUUUUGGGCUCCUCCCGGAUUUUUGGGCAUCCCCAAGAGAAUUUGGGGAUCCCCGGGGUGGAAUUUUGGGGUUCCCAUGGAGACUUUUGGGGUCCCCAAGGGAAUUUCGGGGUGCCCAGGUUGGAUUUUGGGGGACUUUGGUGUCCCUGGGGUGGAUUUUGGGGUCCCCUGGGUGGAUUUUGGGGUCCCCGGGUGGAUUUGGGGGUCCCCAGGUGGAUUUGGGGGUCCCCGGGAGGAUUUUGGGGCGUUUUUGGCUAUUUCUGCUCCUUGCUGGGGGCGUAGAAGAGCUCCAGGGGUUUGCUGAGCUUCCAGAACUUCUCGUUCACCAACUCCAGCGUCAGCGACCCGUUCAGAGGCUGGGGAGAGGGGAUCAGCACCCCGAAAUCACCCCGAAAACACCCCGAAAUCACCCCAAAAAUGUCCCAAAAACACCCCAAGAUAACCCCAAAAAUAACCCCAAAAAUAACCCCGAAACUACCCCAAAAAUAUCCCAAAAACACCCUGAAAUCACCCCAAAAACACCCCAAAAAUAACCCCGAAACUACCUCAAAAAUAUCCCAAAAUCACCCCAAAAUCACCCCAAAAAAUGUCCCAAAACCACCCCAAAAAUAUCCCAAAAACACCUCAAGAUAACCCCAAAAAUAACCCCAAAAAUCCCCCCAAAAUCAGCCCCAAACCCCCCCUGGACCCGUUCAGAGGCUGAGGAGAGGGGAUCAGCACCCCGAAAUCACCCCAAAAAUGUCCCAAAAACACCCCAAAAAUAUCCCAAAAACAUCCCAAGAUAACCCCAAAAACACCCCAAAAAUAACCCCGAAACUACCCCAAAAAUAUCCCAAAAACACCCCGAAAUCACCCCGAAAACACCCCAAAAAUGUCCCAAAACCACCC
This 1048-nucleotide long non-coding RNA is filed under the name Chloebia gouldiae (Gouldian finch). RNAcentral's name for it is "Erythrura gouldiae (Gouldian finch) lncRNA (ENSEGOG00005018700.1)". Lineage: Eukaryota; Metazoa; Chordata; Aves; Passeriformes; Passeridae. The record is from RNAcentral.